Trifolium pratense (red clover) is the source of this 501-nucleotide long non-coding RNA. RefSeq lists it as uncharacterized. The record is from RefSeq and is a predicted model, not a curated record. The transcript has 4 exons. Lineage: Eukaryota; Viridiplantae; Streptophyta; Magnoliopsida; Fabales; Fabaceae.
AUUCAUUUAGCAAAAUACACAACAUAUUUAUAUUUUAUUGCAUCACAUUCACUGAUUCAAGCACACAUUCUAUACUCAAUAGGUGCCAGUACCAGAAGGUCGAUACCAGUACCAGAAGGUUUGAAGGGCGUGAGUUCGAACCAACCAACCACAAGGCUUAUCAGACUUUGGUUUUGAUGUUAAGAUCAUGUUCGAGUAUGUAUUGUCUAUGAUUUUCUCCGACCGUAAUUUCUUUGAUUAAACGUCCAAGAUCUUGAAAAAGGAUGUGAGGAAUUAGCCACGGCAAGAGGAGAAGGAACAUCUUCAGCUUUGGCUUUGGCCAGUGCAGUGGAAGAUGCUGGUGCCAAUAAUUCUGGUACAGAGAGUAAAGAAUGUUAAGAAUGUGUUAUUCAUAACUGAUCUUAUAUGUUUGUUAGUUAGUUUAAAUCAAUUGAAAGUUGGUUAAAACAGUUUUUAGGUAGUUAGUUAGUUAGCUAAACUACCAAGUUAGUUAGAAGUUAG